RNAcentral lists this ribosomal RNA (497 nucleotides) under uncultured bacterium. RNAcentral's name for it is "partial 16S ribosomal RNA". It matches the Rfam family "Bacterial small subunit ribosomal RNA", at positions 28 to 507 of the family's 1533-position model. The record is from RNAcentral.
GAUGAACGCUGGCGGCGUGCCUAAUACAUGCAAGUCGAGCGAACGGACGAGAAGCUUGCUUUUCUGAUGUUAGCGGCGGACGGGUGAGUAACACGUGGAUAACCUACCUAUAAGACUGGGAUAACUUCGGGAAACCGUAGCUAAUACCGGAUAAUAUUUUGAACCGCAUGGGUCAAGAGUGAAAGACGGUCUUUCUGUCACUUAUAGAUGGAUCCGCGCUGCAUUAGAUAGUUGGUAAGGUAACGGCUUACCAAGGCGACGAUGCAUAGCCGACCUCAGAGGGAGAUCGGCCACACUGGAACUGAGACACGGUCCAGACUCCUACGGGAGGCAGCAGUAGGGAAUCUUACGCAAUGGGCGAAAGCCUGACGGAGCAACGCCGCGUGAGUGAUGAAGGUCUUCGGAUCGUAAAACUCUGUUAUUAGGGAAGAACAUAUGUGUAAGUAACUGUGCACAUCUUGACGGUACCUAAUCAGAAAGCCACGGCUAACUACGUG